This 464-nucleotide long non-coding RNA is filed under the name Homo sapiens (human). RNAcentral's name for it is "non-protein coding lnc-MGAT1-3:8". The record is from RNAcentral. Lineage: Eukaryota; Metazoa; Chordata; Mammalia; Primates; Hominidae.
CCCCCUCCUGUACGGCCGCUACUCUGCGCCCGGCUUCCUUCUCACAACCUGGUUCUGCCCACACCUGUUCUUCAGCCCUGUGAACAGUGGCUGUAGAACAGUCUCAGGCCCUGCAGACCCACCUCCCUCGCUCCCGUGGUGGCGGUGGUGACGGGCUGGGGACGUUGGGUAGAAAAAUGGGCGGGAUGUGGAACGCUGCGUUGCCGGGGCCCACUUCCGGAGGACGGGCGGAAGUGGCUGCGGUGGAUGGUGGGAGGGGGGAAGGAGUGCGAGGGGAGGGCCGGGCCGCUGGGGGUCGAGGGGGUGGGGCCUGGGCCAGCGCUGGGGAUCGGGCCUGGGGCCUGGAUUGCGACCCGCGGCGGGCCGCGGCUCCUAGCCGAGACGGGGCGGGCGGGAACCAGGUUAACACAGAAAUCUGCCUCCUGGGCCAUGCCGCUUCUAAGGCCUGUUUCUUCUCAUGAGCC